Long non-coding RNA from Hippocampus zosterae (dwarf seahorse), 671 nucleotides. RefSeq lists it as uncharacterized. The transcript has 6 exons. Lineage: Eukaryota; Metazoa; Chordata; Actinopteri; Syngnathiformes; Syngnathidae. The record is from RefSeq and is a predicted model, not a curated record.
CCGCUUUCCAGGCCGCAGAUCUCCUCCAGAGUGACACUGGCCCGCUCCUUGUUCCCGUCGACUUUGUCUGACUUGUCUUUAAAAACCAGCAACACGAGGCAAUCUGGAGGCAUCAAAUAGCGACGGCUUGCGAAGAACAAUCCACCUAGUUUUCCACUGCCAAAGACAAAUCCCCCGCCCCAAAAAAAGAUGGCAGUCUGGCGUAUCCCUCCACGACUACCGAAUCGGUCAUCUUCAGUCAUGGUUCCUGACAGCUGCACAGUUGGCUGCCCCAAUGAGCCACUGAUGGAGCAGCAGUAGUUGUCUGGGAAGGCCACGCCAUUUUCGGGAAGACAGAUGGGCCUGAUGAACGGCGUCCGCUUCACACAGCGACCAUCCUGCUUCUUCAGUUUGACGAGAACUGGUCCAAAUGGGAGGUCAAAGGAAAAAACCCAAAACAAACAAAUGGAGGGCACUGCGCAGUACUCCCAGGAGAUGGCGCCCUUGCUCAGAGUGUAGCACCACGGCAUUAUGUCGCCAUCAGGAUUCCUGCACAUUUCGAGGGGAGAAGAAUGGCCAGAAAUCUGAUGUGACAGUGACACUUGGAAGCGGUGGUAUGAGGUUAUCAUGGCGCCUAAAAGCAGCGGGAAGAAUCUACGCAGAGGCCGUCGGCAGCCGACAGCAUGACAGCC